GGGGCUGUGGCGUAAUGGUAGCGCGUGUGACUCCAGAUCUGACUUCCAGGUCGAAUGGUCCAUCAUAAGGUUAGUGGUUCGAUUCCUCUCAGCCUCA
This is a non-coding RNA of Aspergillus avenaceus, 97 nucleotides long. NCBI's taxonomy places the organism in Eukaryota, Fungi, Ascomycota, Eurotiomycetes, Eurotiales, Aspergillaceae. The record is from the annotation of a GenBank genome assembly.